RNAcentral lists this long non-coding RNA (448 nucleotides) under Mytilus galloprovincialis (Mediterranean mussel). The record is from RNAcentral. Lineage: Eukaryota; Metazoa; Mollusca; Bivalvia; Mytilida; Mytilidae.
AAAAGGAAUUGUCGUAAAGCUGAACGCCGCAUGCGGAAAACAAAUUUGACCGUUCAUCAGCAGAUACAUCGGGAUGCUUGUGUACAUGCGAACUAACUCCUUAUCCGAUGUUAAAAAGAACACUAUUCAACCAAAGUUGAAGAAGCUGAACACGAUCAGAAACAACUCUUUCAACUAAGUAAACGCAUUAUGGGAGAAAAGCAAGAAGCAAUUCUACCAUCGCAUAAAGAUGAAAAAGACCUUGCUAACAAGUUCUGUCAGUUUUUCAUGAACAAGAUUGAAACGAUUCGGGCAAAUUUAAGCGCAUCUAAUAAAAGCUCCAUCACUAUGUGCGACAUUAUAAAAUCAGACGAAAAGUUUAACGGUGAACAUUUAUCAUCAUUCAAACGAACAACCAUUUCGGGACUCACGAAGAUCAUACAAUCUGCACCAUCAAAACACUGUGAAC